This 492-nucleotide ribosomal RNA is filed under the name uncultured bacterium. RNAcentral's name for it is "partial 16S ribosomal RNA". It matches the Rfam family "Bacterial small subunit ribosomal RNA", at positions 29 to 507 of the family's 1533-position model. The record is from RNAcentral.
AGUGAACGCUGGCGGUAUGCCUAACACAUGCAAGUCGAACGGCAGCACAGUAAGAGCUUGCUCUUACGGGUGGCGAGUGGCGGACGGGUGAGGAAUACAUCGGAAUCUACUUUUUCGUGGGGGAUAACGUAGGGAAACUUACGCUACUACCGCAUACUACCUACGGGUGAACUCCGGGGCUCUUCGGACCUUGCGCGAUUGUAUGAGCCGAUGUCGGAUUAGCUAGUUGGCGGGGUAAAGGCCCACCAAGGCGACGAUCCGUAGCUGGUCUAAGAGGAUGAUCAGCCACACUGGAACUGAGACACGGUCCAGACUCCUACGGGAGGCAGCAGUGGGGAAUAUUGGACAAUGGGCGCAAGCCUGAUCCAGCCAUACCGCGUGGGUGAAGAAGGCCUUCGGGUUGUAAAGCCCUUUUGUUGGGAAAGAAAAGCAGCAGGUUAAUACCCCGCUGUUCUGACGGUACCCAAAGAAUAAGCACCGGCUAACUUCGUG